UACGUAGGCAGCAAGCGUUGUUCGGAGUUACUGGGCGUAAAGGGUGUGUAGGCGGUUGUUUAAGUUUGGUGUGAAAUCUCCCGGCUCAACCGGGAGGGUGCGCCGAAUACUGAGUGACUAGAGUGCGGGAGAGGAAAGUGGAAUUCCUGGUGUAGCGGUGAAAUGCGUAGAUAUCAGGAGGAACACCGGUGGUGUAGACGGCUUUCUGGACCGUAACUGACGCUGAGGCGCGAAAGCUAGGGGAGCAAACAGG
Molecule: ribosomal RNA, 253 nt
Filed under: uncultured bacterium
Lineage: Bacteria
Description: partial 16S ribosomal RNA
Rfam family: Bacterial small subunit ribosomal RNA
Source: RNAcentral